CCUACGGGAGGCAGCAGUGGGGAAUCUUCCGCAAUGGGCGAAAGCCUGACGGAGCAACGCCGCGUGAUCGAAUGAAGGCCUUCGGGUUGUAAAGAUCUGUUGACAGGGACGAAUAAGCAAUGCAAAUAGUUUUGUGUAUGACGGUACCUGUUUAGAAAGCUCCGGCUAACUACGUGCCAGCAGCCGCGGUAAUACGUAGGGAGCAAGCGUUGUCCGGAAUUACUGGGUGUAAAGGGAGCGUAGGCGGGAAAGCAAGUUGAAUGUUUAAGGUACGGGCUCAACCUGUACAAGCGUUCAAAACUGUUUUUCUUGAGUGGAGUAGAGGUAAGCGGAAUUCCUAGUGUAGCGGUGAAAUGCGUAAAUAUUAGGAGGAACACCAGUGGCGAAGGCGGCUUACUGGGCUUUAACUGACGCUGAGGCUCGAAAGCGUGGGUAGCAAACAGGAUUAGAUACCCUUGUAGUC
Molecule: ribosomal RNA, 463 nt
Filed under: uncultured bacterium
Lineage: Bacteria
Description: partial 16S ribosomal RNA
Rfam family: Bacterial small subunit ribosomal RNA
Source: RNAcentral